GGGGUUGUGGCUCAGUGGUAGAGCACUUGCCUAGCAUGUGCAAGGCCCUGGGUUCGAUCCUCAACACUA
RNAcentral lists this transfer RNA (69 nucleotides) under Ictidomys tridecemlineatus (thirteen-lined ground squirrel). Its description in RNAcentral is "Spermophilus tridecemlineatus (thirteen-lined ground squirrel) tRNA". It matches the Rfam family "tRNA". From Rfam's summary of the family: Transfer RNA (tRNA) molecules are approximately 80 nucleotides in length. Their secondary structure includes four short double-helical elements and three loops (D, anti-codon, and T loops). Lineage: Eukaryota; Metazoa; Chordata; Mammalia; Rodentia; Sciuridae. The record is from Rfam by way of RNAcentral.